GGUGCUGCUGCUGGUGCAGCUUCUGAUCUAAAAAGAAGAACAGGAAAUCAAAAUCCAUUGAUAAGAAGAAAAAUGAUGUUCCAAAGCACAUACAUGCUCUAGAAAAUAUUGAAGUGGGAAUUGAAGGUAUAGAUAAUGAGAAGUUGACCCCUAUGCCACAAAUCAAAUUCGA
Molecule: long non-coding RNA, 172 nt
Organism: Hibiscus syriacus
Lineage: Eukaryota; Viridiplantae; Streptophyta; Magnoliopsida; Malvales; Malvaceae
Exons: 2
Source: RefSeq, a predicted model, not a curated record